This 74-nucleotide transfer RNA is filed under the name Eubacterium sp. RNAcentral describes it as "tRNA-Arg". It matches the Rfam family "tRNA". Rfam says of the family: Transfer RNA (tRNA) molecules are approximately 80 nucleotides in length. Lineage: Bacteria; Bacillati; Bacillota; Clostridia; Eubacteriales; Eubacteriaceae. The record is from RNAcentral.
ACAGGCGUAGCUCAAUGGAUAAGAGUAUCGGAUUUCUGAUCCGGCGGUUAAGGGUUCAAGUCCCUUCGCCUGUA